GACGAACGCUGGCGGUGUGCUUAACACAUGCAAGUCGAACGGAAAGGCCUGCUUUCCCUUGUGGAUUGCGGGUACUCGAGUGGCGAACGGGUGAGUAACACGUGAGUGAUCUGCCCCCAACUUGGGUAUAAGCCUGGGAAACUGGGUCUAAUUCCCGAUAGGACUGCAGGGUGGUGCCUGUGGUGGAAAACGAUUUUCUAGUGGUUGGGGAUGAGCUCGCGGCCUAUCAGCCUGUUGGUGGGGUAAUGGCCUACCAAGGCGGCGACGGGUAGCCGGCCUGAGAGGGUGGACGGCCACAUUGGGACUGAGAUACGGCCCAGACUCCUACGGGAGGCAGCAGUGGGGAAUAUUGCACAAUGGGCGGAAGCCUGAUGCAGCGACGCCGCGUGGGGGAUGACGGCCUUCGGGUUGUAAACUCCUUUCGACCGCGAGGAAGCCACCUGGUUGGAAGGGUGGUGACGGUAGUGGUAGAAGAAGCACCGGCUAACUACGUG
Molecule: ribosomal RNA, 494 nt
Filed under: uncultured bacterium
Lineage: Bacteria
Description: partial 16S ribosomal RNA
Rfam family: Bacterial small subunit ribosomal RNA
Source: RNAcentral